UAGGGAAUCUUCGGCAAUGGACGAAAGUCUGACCGAGCAACGCCGCGUGAGUGAAGAAGGUUUUCGGAUCGUAAAACUCUGUUGUUAGAGAAGAACAAGGACGUUAGUAACUGAACGUCCCCUGACGGUAUAUAACCAGAAAGCCACGGCUAACUACGUGCCAGCAGCCGCGGUAAUACGUAGGUGGCAAGCGUUGUCCGGAUUUAUUGGGCGUAAAGCGAGCGCAGGCGGUUUCUUAAGUCUGAUGUGAAAGCCCCCGGCUCAACCGGGGAGGGUCAUUGGAAACUGGGUGACUUGAGUGCAGAAGAGGAGGGUGGAAUUCCAUGUGUGGCGGUAAAAUGCGUAGAUAUAUGGAGGAACACCAGUGGCGAAGGCGGCUCUCUGGUCUGUAACUGACGCUGAGGCUCGAAAGCGUGGGGAGCAAACAGG
Molecule: ribosomal RNA, 429 nt
Filed under: Gemmatimonadota bacterium
Lineage: Bacteria; Pseudomonadati; Gemmatimonadota
Description: Gemmatimonadetes bacterium partial 16S ribosomal RNA
Rfam family: Bacterial small subunit ribosomal RNA
Source: RNAcentral